Non-coding RNA from Aphanomyces cochlioides, 85 nucleotides. The record is from the annotation of a GenBank genome assembly. Lineage: Eukaryota; Oomycota; Saprolegniomycetes; Saprolegniales; Verrucalvaceae.
UGUACGCUGGCCGAGUGGUUUAGGCGACGGCGCUAUUGUAGCAGAGGAGGGGAGGGGCCCGGGUUCGAGUCCCGGGCACGUACAA